GUGGGGAAUAUUGGACAAUGGGCGAAAGCCUGAUCCAGCCAUGCCGCGUGUGUGAAGAAGGUCUUCGGAUUGUAAAGCACUUUAAGUUGGGAGGAAGGGCAGUAAGUUAAUACCUUGCUGUUUUGACGUUACCGACAGAAUAAGCACCGGCUAACUUCGUACCAGCAGCCGCGGUAAUACGAAGGGUGCAAGCGUUAAUCGGAAUUACUGGGCGUAAAGCGCGCGUAGGUGGUUUUGUAAGUUGGAGGUGAAAUCCCUGGGCUCAACCUGGGAACUGCCUCCAAAACUGCAUGACUAGAGUACGGUAGAGGGUAGUGGAAUUUCCUGUGUAGCGGUGAAAUGCGUAGAUAUAGGAAGGAACACCAGUGGCGAAGGCGACUACCUGGACUGAUACUGACACUGAGGUGCGAAAGCGUGGGGAGCAAACAGGAUUAGAAACCCCUGUAGUCC
RNAcentral lists this ribosomal RNA (450 nucleotides) under uncultured bacterium. RNAcentral describes it as "partial 16S ribosomal RNA". It matches the Rfam family "Bacterial small subunit ribosomal RNA", at positions 354 to 796 of the family's 1533-position model. The record is from RNAcentral.